CCUACGGGUGGCAGCAGUGGGGGAUAUUGCACAAUGGGCGGAACCCUGAUGCAGCGACGCCGCGUGGGUGAAGGAGUGCUUCGGCAUGUAAAGCUCUAUCGGCAGGGAAGAAGCAAGAUGGUACCUGACUAAGAAGCCCCGGCUAACUACGUGCCAGCAGCCGCGGUAAUACGUAGGGGGCGAGCGUUAUCCGGAUGCACUGGGUGUAAAGGGAGCGUAGACGGCCAUGCAAGCCAGGGGUGAAAGUCCGUGGCCCAACCCCGGGAGUGCCCUUGGAACUGGAUGGCUGGAGUGCGGGAGAGGCAGGCGGAAUUCCUGGUGUAGCGGUGAAAUGCGUAGAUAUCAGGAGGAACACCGGCGGCGAAGGCAGCCUGCUGGACUGCGACUGACGUUGAGGCUCGAAAGCGUGGGGAGCAAACAGGAUUAGAUACCCGAGUAGUC
Molecule: ribosomal RNA, 441 nt
Filed under: uncultured bacterium
Lineage: Bacteria
Description: partial 16S ribosomal RNA
Rfam family: Bacterial small subunit ribosomal RNA
Source: RNAcentral